CCUACGGGAGGCAGCAGUGGGGAAUAUUGGACAAUGGGCGAAAGCCUGAUCCAGCAAUGCCGCGUGAGUGAUGAAGGCCUUAGGGUUGUAAAGCUCUUUUACCAGGGAUGAUAAUGACAGUACCUGGAGAAUAAGCUCCGGCUAACUCCGUGCCAGCAGCCGCGGUAAUACGGAGGGAGCUAGCGUUGUUCGGAAUUACUGGGCGUAAAGCGUACGUAGGCGGCGAUUCAAGUCAGAGGUGAAAGCCUGGAGCUCAACUCCAGAACUGCCUUUGAAACUAGAUUGCUAGAAUCGUGGAGAGGUGAGUGGAAUUCCGAGUGUAGAGGUGAAAUUCGUAGAUAUUCGGAAGAACACCAGUGGCGAAGGCGGCUCACUGGACACGUAUUGACGCUGAGGUACGAAAGCGUGGGGAGCAAACAGGAUUAGAUACCCUGGUAGUCCACGCCGUAAACGAUGAUAACUAGCUGCAGGUACGUUAGUACUUAGUGGUCGCAGCUAACGCAUAAGUUAUCCGCCGUGGGAGGUACGGUCGCGAGAAGUUAAACGUAACUAAAUAGUUAAGUUAGUACGGCGUUGAGACGUUGCCGACGGACGACGACGAGGGAGGAGG
RNAcentral lists this ribosomal RNA (610 nucleotides) under uncultured bacterium. Its description in RNAcentral is "bacterial SSU rRNA". The stretch from base 1 to 516 matches the Rfam family "Bacterial small subunit ribosomal RNA", at positions 338 to 873 of the family's 1533-position model. The record is from RNAcentral.